RNAcentral lists this ribosomal RNA (392 nucleotides) under uncultured bacterium. RNAcentral's name for it is "partial 16S ribosomal RNA". It matches the Rfam family "Bacterial small subunit ribosomal RNA", at positions 523 to 918 of the family's 1533-position model. The record is from RNAcentral.
AUACGGAGGAUCCGAGCGUUAUCCGGAUUUAUUGGGUUUAAAGGGUGCGCAGGCGGCCAUUUAAGUCAGCGGUUAAAUCGUGGGGCUCAACCCCAUUCUGCCGUUGAUACUGGGUGGCUUGAUUGCGGUCGAGGUUGGCGGAAUUCGUUGUGUAGCGGUGAAAUGCAUAGAUAUGACGAAGAACACCGAUUGCGUAGGCAGCUGACCAGACCGCAAAUGACGCUCAUGCACGAAAGUGCGGGGAUCGAACAGGAUUAGAUACCCUGGUAGUCCGCACAGUAAACGAUGAAUACUUGUUUUCGGCGAUAUAAUGUCGGAGGCAAAGCGAAAGCGAUAAGUAUUCCACCUGGGGGGUACGCCGGCAACGGUGAAACUCAAAGGAAUUGACGGGG